UCUUGGGAAUCAAGCUUGACAGGAGGGUUGCCCGGGAGAUGGAGGACGCCUUCGACCAAGCAACCGUUUUUGCCAAGAACCUCUAGGGCGAAACGACGGCGAGUGAAGUCGUAGAAGAUGCGAGCGUGGUGGCGGGAGAUGUUCAUGCCACCACCGAGGCUGGAGAGGUCAACGUCGACGGUGGAUUUCUUGGAAUUGCGGCC
RNAcentral lists this unclassified non-coding RNA (203 nucleotides) under Hevea brasiliensis (rubber tree). The record is from RNAcentral. Lineage: Eukaryota; Viridiplantae; Streptophyta; Magnoliopsida; Malpighiales; Euphorbiaceae.